RNAcentral lists this long non-coding RNA (432 nucleotides) under Physcomitrium patens. Its description in RNAcentral is "long non-coding RNA (PPAT_LNC008847)". The record is from RNAcentral. Lineage: Eukaryota; Viridiplantae; Streptophyta; Bryopsida; Funariales; Funariaceae.
AGAGUAUGGACCAGCCCUCCACAUCAACGGCGCUUGUUCCAGCGGAAAAGAUGGCUUCAGCACCGCCACCAGGAAAACCAAGGCGGGCUGCAUUUUCUGUUCCAGAUGAUGCUCCACCCCGGGAUGAUAUAAUGGGGAAGCUUCUCCUGGAAUACCGUCCUCAGUAAGUUUGUGGAAUUUAGAUGGAUUACAUAUCAAGUAAUGUUAAAUCAAACUAAUGGUAUGAUGUACAUCUUGUCCUGACAAUGAUAGUGGUGUUAAAACCCGAUCGGAUUGGUGAUGCAAUACUUAUUAGUUAAUGAUAAUGGUGUGCAGGUGGAUUGGAAGGUAUCAUGAACACGAACCCUUGCUGGAAGAUUUGGAGGAUGAGAAGCUUUCAAAAGAAGAGCAAACUAUGGCGUGGGAGUCCUUUCAGCAUGAAGAAUCUGUUCC